CACUUAAUAAAAUAAAUAGAUUGCAUAAUGCCACUGGUCACUCAUCAGCCACCAACCUUGGCAAUUCACUUCUCUGACAGUCUGUUUCCUUCUUUUCUAGCUGGGCCAAUCACUGCUAUCUCCCAAGAUACCCUGGUUGAAAGAUGUUUGGGAAAGGUUUCAAGUACUAUCUGGAGUAAAAGGUGUUACUGUUGGGAUACAUGACAAUGAGCUUCUACGGUCAGAUAUUCAUUUGAGUUUGAACUUGGGAUACGUGUUGAGAAAACCAGUUCUGCUCAAUUUUUAAAUCCUAGGACACUCGAAUAAUAUUCCAUUGUCUGGAUGUGCCACACAGUUUGUUUAUUUAUUCACCUAUUGAAAGACAUCUUGGUUGCUUCCAAGUUUGGGAAUUAUAAGUAAAAUUGCUGUAAACAUCGGUGUGCAGGUCUUUCUGUGGACAUAUAUUUUCAACUCACUUGGGUAAGUACUAAGGAAUACAAUUGCUCGAUGCGAUGGUAAGGGUAUGUGUUGUUUUGCAGUGCAUCACCAAACUGCCUUCCAAAGUGGCUGUAUCAUUCCCCCACCAUUUUAAGGCACAGCCUGGCCAGCCAUGCCAGGAUGUAGCAUUGACUUCUUAGAUAGGUGAACAUCCCAAUUCUUUGUGCCUAUCUUGAGAUAUGCUAUUAUGGACAAUCACAUUCCAAGGCAGCAUAGGGCAAAUUCCUAUGUUUCAUGCUCAGUUUAACAAAUGUGUGUUAUUAGAGGGUGUGUCUGGAUGGAGGUAACUUAUACUGUGUCCAACUCACCUAUUGCUAUGUUGGCGUGUGAAAGUUGAGAAGUGCCACGAUGUGUUUGCACCUGUAAGACAGGGAAGGCGUGGCUGUCUCUUCUUCCUGAAAAAGCCUCUUGGCUUUGACACUGCCCAUUGGUGUCUCUUUCCCCUUUGCUGUUGCUCUCCUGAGGACAUGUUGGUCAUUCCUCCUCAUUCACUGGGGAUUCGCCUCCUGACUCAUAGUUUUCCUUUUCUUACCCCACCAUAAUAUCCACCCCCGACUUCUCAGUUCCUUUACCUUCUCAUCUCUAACAACAUUUUUCUCACCUUCCACCAGCAACCCACUACCCAUAAUCACCCUCAGAGCCUUCACAGCAACAGAAUCUACAUGCCUCAGACAUCUCAGUUUCAAACAACUCACCCUUUCAGCACCACAACUUACAUUUUCUGAUUCACUCACCACAAUUCCUUGAAGUCACAGGGCCUGCAAUCUCUUGACUUUUCCUUUGUCUCACAGCCCAUCAGCCCCUCUGUUUUCUCAUCACCCCUCAUUAAUGUAAACCCCAGGAUCCAUCUUCUCACCAGGCCCCUGAACUUUCUUCUGUUAUUUGCUCCUACCCAGCAGACCCCAAUCCUGACUGAAAUUCACUCUGCCUUCUCCAUGCCUGUCCUGAGUAGCUCCAAGUUGCUGAUUAACAACCACUGGCCAGGCUGAGUGGCAUCAUUUGAAGCCAUCAUCUCAAGCUGCAGGGGGACAUUCAUGCUCCUGACACGCCUGUUAUACUUUACUAGUUAAUGUUUCCACUUUCUGAAGUGCUCCUUCAUAUCUUUUUUUUGUCUUCAAAUCUCCUACACUGUUCCCCUGAAUCCUGGCUAAUGGGUAGCCUCUAUCUCCCUGAGAAUACAGAAGCCAGACAAGAGUUCUCUUCUUUCCUCACACCAGUUUAGAAGUGCAUCUGAAUUUGCAUCUGGCUUCUGAUUCCUUUCUACUACAAGAAAGAAAGCCUCCCUCUCCUAACAAAUAAUAUUUCUUCCUUGGGUUUUGGAUGAGCUCACUUUAAGGAGUUCUGGAUUAGCUCACUUCAAGGAUGAGCUCACUUCACCUCUCCCUUCCCUCUCCCUUCCCUUCAACAUCCACUCAUGCCUCUGCAUCAUCAGCCCCUCCGUCUCCACUGCAUCCUUCCUUCUUUUUUUCCCCCCUUUAAAGGAGAGGGGCAAUAUAACUUACGUAAAAUAACAUAUGUAAAAAUAACAAUCCAGAAAUUUUUUGGUGUUUGUUUCUCAAUACCCACCCUCAAAUGUAACCACUUUUCUGAUUUCUAUUAGAAAAUAGAUUAAUUUUCCCUGAUUUUGGACUUCCUAUAACUGGAAUAAUAUGGUAUAUAUUUUUUGGUAUCUGGCUUCUUUUGUUCAAUACAACAUAUUUGUGAUUAAUCCAUGCUGUUGUGUAGGUCAAUCAUCUUUAUUGCUGAGUAGUAUUCCAUUGCAAGGUCAUACCAUAAUUUGCUUAUCCAUUCUUCUGUUGGUGGAAAUUGCAGGUGUUACCAGAUUUGAGCUCCUAUAAACAAGGCUGCUCUGGACAUUCUUGUACAGGUCUUUUGGUGGAAAUAUACUUUCCUUUUCAUUUGGAACUUCUGGUCAUAGAAUAGGUGUAUAUUUAACUUUAUUAGGAGCUAACAGACAGCUCUUCAAAGUGGCUAUACCAUUUUGCAUUCUCAUAAAAGCAGUGUAUGAGGGUUCUGGUUGCUUAACUUCCUCCACAAAUAUAGGAUAAUCAGUCAUUUUGAUUUUAGUGAUUCUAAUGGGUGUGAAAAGUGCUUUGGGGUCAUAAGAUUAGCCCCCAUUAGAAGUUAUCUAUUAUUAUUAUCACCAGAUCACGACUCAAACAUUUUUAAUAAAGGGCACCUGAGUUCCUUCUUUAUUGUAA
Long non-coding RNA from Homo sapiens (human), 2678 nucleotides. RefSeq lists it as uncharacterized. Lineage: Eukaryota; Metazoa; Chordata; Mammalia; Primates; Hominidae. The transcript has 2 exons. The record is from RefSeq and is a predicted model, not a curated record.